RNAcentral lists this long non-coding RNA (622 nucleotides) under Pan troglodytes (chimpanzee). RNAcentral's name for it is "lncRNA (ENSPTRG00000053220.1)". Lineage: Eukaryota; Metazoa; Chordata; Mammalia; Primates; Hominidae. The record is from RNAcentral.
GCUUAAGUGAUCCUCCAACCUCAGCCUCCGGAGUAGCUGGGACUACAGGCACACACCACCAUGCCUGGCAAUUUUGUUUUGUUUUGUUUUGUUUUGUUUUUGUAGGGAUGGGGUCUCACUAUGUUUCUCAGGCUGAUCUCAAACCCUUGGCUUCAAAUGAUCCUCCUGACUCAGCCUGCCAAAACGCUGGUAUUACAGGUGUGAGCCACCAUGCCUGGCCUAAAGGUUUAAUUAAAGAGGUGAACUCCCAUGUCAAGGAGAGUGUUAAAAGAAUGACCGGAGGAAGGAGAACCAAGCUCAUUUACUCUUUACUUUGGAAAAAGAAACAGCAGAAACUUGGGGCACAGUCUCUUAAUGGAAAGUCACCUUAGAACAUAAUUUCUCAACAAGAAGUUGAGUCACAUAUCCAACAAGUGCAACAGAGGAGAAAGCUGAAGCACCAGACGGUUAAAAGGACUGUUCAAGAGAGCCUCGCAAUUUUGACCAAGGAAGAAAGCUGAAGGGUGCUAGAGCAAGAGAGGAACUAUGUCCAGAACAAUUCAUAAUUCCAAAUUCUCACUUCCAUGAUUUCAAUGCUGAAUGUGUACUUCUCUAGCUAAAAAUACAAUUGCUUAAGUAAAAU